RNAcentral lists this ribosomal RNA (498 nucleotides) under uncultured bacterium. RNAcentral describes it as "partial 16S ribosomal RNA". It matches the Rfam family "Bacterial small subunit ribosomal RNA", at positions 30 to 523 of the family's 1533-position model. The record is from RNAcentral.
AUUGAACGCUGGCGGCAUGCCUUACACAUGCAAGUCGAACGGUAACAGGUCUUCGGAUGCUGACGAGUGGCGAACGGGUGAGUAAUACAUCGGAACGUGCCUAGUAGUGGGGGAUAACUACUCGAAAGAGUGGCUAAUACCGCAUGAGAUCUACGGAUGAAAGCAGGGGAUCGCAAGACCUUGUGCUACUAGAGCGGUCGAUGGCAGAUUAGGUAGUUGGUGGGAUAAGAGCUUACCAAGCCGACGAUCUGUAGCUGGUCCGAGAGGACGAUCAGCCACACUGGGACUGAGACACGGCCCAGACUCCUACGGGAGGCAGCAGUGGGGAAUGUUGGACAAUGGGCGAAAGCCUGAUCCAGCAAUGCCGCGUGCAGGAUGAAGGCCUUCGGGUUGUAAACUGCUUUUGUACGGAACGAAAAGCCCCGGGUUAAUACCCUGGGGUCAUGACGGUACCGUAAGAAUAAGCACCGGCUAACUACGUGCCAGCAGCCGCGGUAA